AUGGUUGUCGUCAGCUCGUGUCGUGAGAUGUUGGGUUAAGUCCCGCAACGAGCCGCAACCCCUAUUGUUAGUUGCCAUCAUUAAGUUGGGCACUCUAACGAGACUGCCGGUGAUAAACCGGAGGAAGGUGGGGAUGACGUCAAAUCAUCAUGCCCUUAUGACCUGGGCUACACACGUGCUACAAUGGAUGGUACAACGAGUCGCGAGACAGUGAUGUUUAGCUAAAUACUCUUAAAACCAUUCUCAGUUCGGAUUGUAGGCUGCAACUCGCCUACAUGAAGUCGGAAUCGCUAGUAAUCGCGGAUCAGCACGCCGCGGUCGAAUACGUUCCCGGGCCUU
Molecule: ribosomal RNA, 339 nt
Filed under: uncultured Lactococcus sp.
Lineage: Bacteria; Bacillati; Bacillota; Bacilli; Lactobacillales; Streptococcaceae
Description: bacterial SSU rRNA
Rfam family: Bacterial small subunit ribosomal RNA
Source: RNAcentral